Long non-coding RNA from Megalobrama amblycephala (Wuchang bream), 5870 nucleotides. RefSeq lists it as uncharacterized. The record is from RefSeq and is a predicted model, not a curated record. The transcript is spliced from 3 exons. Lineage: Eukaryota; Metazoa; Chordata; Actinopteri; Cypriniformes; Xenocyprididae.
CUUUUAGUUUUCAUUUUAUUCAAAUUUUAAAAACGCCCCAACAUUUCCGGAAUUCGGGUUGUACCUGAGAGAAUUAUAGCCUUUGAAAUAUUUUAGGGCAGAGCAUAUUUAGGAAAGUGUACAUUCAUUAAACAAUAUCCAUGACUUUUCCAGGCAUGGAAAACACAAUUUUGAAAUUCCCUGAUAUUGAUAUUUACUUGUUGGAAGCUUGAAUAUAGUAUGUAGGAAAGAAGUAAACAUUGUCAGGGCAUUGAUGGUGUAAUCAAUUUUAGGCCAAAUCAAAAACAUUAAUGAAGUGCACAUCCCACUUAUUCCUUUUUGUGUUUUUCAGGUUUAUAAAACAAAGCACCGGCCAAGCCUUUAUGAUUAAAGUGGGGUCGAUCCUGCACCUGUCCAUGUCCUGGUCUGAUCUUUGACCUGACCUUUGACCCUGCGGUGUGCCGUCUACAACCUUACGAAAUAUCUUAAUUUGUGUUCUGAAGAUGAACGAAAGUCUUGUGGGUGUGGAACGACAUGAGGUGUUUUGAAUAAAUAACAGAGGAAUGGUCGCUGCUCAUCACUGAUCACCUCUAAAGCAGAUGAGCAAAGCGUGCGAGGCUCACAAUUAGCCAUGGCUGCCCUCACUGCCCCGUGCGUGCGUGACAAUCCUACAUGUGUAUCCCUACAGUAUGUGCUUUUUUCUCUCGUUCUCAUUAUGUUUUUAUUAUGCCUAAGGAGGUUUCUUCUACAUUCGCAGAAAAGUUUCUUGACCCGAGGAUUUAAUUACAUUAGUUCCUUCACUCUCAAAUUACAGGGUCGUGCCACGUCACAUUGCAUAAUCUCAAGAUUUUGUCUUGAGAGUCGCUUGCAUGCAACAGGCCGCAGUGAACUCAUUGAUUGUUUACAUGCACAGAUUUUCACUGAUUAAAUUCAGUCUGAUUGCAGAUUCUAAAUGUUCUGUUUAUACGUACCUUAAACACUCCAGUCGGGUAAAAAAAACGUAUGUUUACAUGCACAUUACAUGCGAGUGGAAUUAAACAGCAAAGCGUUCUGUAAUCAUCCCGCAUUAACUCCACUUUGUGUUUUCCAUUUCAUGCCAAUUCGAAUUUUGGGUAAAAUAAUAUUUAAUAUUUAACAUAAUAAUUAUUGUAACAGUUUUGUAUUAAAACUGUACAGUAAUGAAUGAAUUAUAAUUAAUUGAUUAUAAGCAACAAUUCUUCCACCAAUUUUUUUUUUAUUUUUUUUGUCCCACUAAUCAUCACAGCGUAUUAUUGAUUUGAAUUCUACACAAAGGAUACAUUUGGCCAAAACACACUCUUAUGAUGCAAUUAAAUCACACUGUCUAUGUUUUGGAACAGCCACAAAAGCACACCUAUGAUGCCUUAAAAUGCUGCCUACGGAAGCAGCUCACUAAAUUUAUUUGCAUGGUAUUUACUUCUCAGCACAGGUGUUUUUGGCAAAAUUAGGCAGCUGAGAAAACACAGACGGUGGCAACUGGUCAUUUAAAAUGCUAGCAUGAUUACGUUCCCUAUCUGCACCUGGAGUUCACCCUGCAGUCAUUGGCUGCGUCUGAAAGCUAAAGCAGCUGACUUGUUGCCUCGCUGCCCUAACAGGCAAUAACUUUGCAUUUGCGCACCAAGGUACCUCAUGAAACUGAUUUCAGACAGAGAUGUGCUGCGUCCCAAUUCGCCUACUUAUACUAUGCCCUAAAAGUAUGUUUUUGUGAAAAAAAACAACAAAAAAACAUACUUUUGAGUGUGUAGCAAAAGAGUAGGCAAGCUUUGGGACAUACUAAUUCAUCAUAACAGCGUUUUUAACGGACAGCUCUGUCGCUAUGUGCAUCCUGUCAUCGUUUAAACAGCCCUAUCAAUCAUCUUGUCACAGUUAAAAUACUCCACAUUCAAUUUAAUUUAAUUUCCUACCGUUUCAGAGAGAAAUGUAGUAACACGUUGAUCUGCCAGUCGUGGGUCUUUCAUGCGGUGAACUCUCUUCAUGCAUUUGCAAUUUGCAUAAUGAUGCAUUUAAAAGUUAACGAUCAAACAUAUCUUUACAACAGUUAACAAUGCUGUUGCAGAUGAAAGAUAAUGUGGAUAACAUUGAAUAAAUAGCUUUUCGUCAGGUUAAAUACUGUUUAUUAAUCACUCAAACCCCUUUAUCUAAACCUCUUAACCGUCAGACUCACACAUAUGCCAUGUUUGUAGUUUUUUAGCACAUUUUAUUAGUGUUUGAAGUUAUCAAAUCCUCAUCCAACGAGCAAUGGCUUGUGGGAAAUAUUAGCUGUUAGAGUGUGCACAGAUCUGUACUUCGGAUUUUAACCGGAAUACUCAUUUCAACAUACUACAAUUUGGGACACACUAAUUCUAAUUUCGAAUACUAUUUAGGACAAAUAGUAUGGGAAUUGGGACGCAUUAUUGGGAGAUACAAGGGUCCCUGGCUCUAUCAUUUGAAAAAGCAUAAUGGCCAACUUGGAUUAUGUGUGCCUUAAUAACCAAUCACAUUUCAGCCUUGACGUCAAUGAAUUUCAUUCAGAGUUGUGCUACAGUCAGUCACUGUUUGCAGAUACCAUAGAAAUUAACAAGAAGUGCCAUAAACUGAAUCCUAGCUGUUGAGCAAUUUUCCAAGACUUCUCUUAAGUGUAAACUCUAAAAAUAGAUAAAUCCAAAAUGAAUGUUUAAGAGCAAAUAUGUAGACGAUUGGCCAGUAGGCUGUUGAUUCAUUAAAUGAUAAGCCGUUUUCCCACAAAAGCAGUUUAUUCAGUGUAGUGAAACCUCUUCUCCCUUGACAUCCAUUAAAAAAAGGCCUCUGGUCAACUUCCUUGCGUACUGCAGCAUUAUGCUAUUUUUUGCUAACCUAGAAGUCUUGCUUUAAAGGUAGGGUAGGUCAUUUUCAGAGAGGCUAGCAAUAGCGAGCUAGCCUACCAAAGCCUCCUCUCCAAAGCCACGCCUCCUCCAAAACACAUGAACGCACACAGCAGGGAGCAAACAAAAGCGUCACAAGAGACGGCAUUAAACUACCUCAUGUCUCAAAGCACAUAACAUUACAAUAAUAAUGAAUGUAAACAACAUAAAGAGCAUUGACCUGUACCACCUGACUGCUGCAGAUUAAUUUCGCCGUUGAUUGUGUUGCCAUUGAAAUGUGUAAAUUUGAGUCACGAACCACUCUGAGUAUAACGUCACCAGUUUCCAUUUCUUCCAAAUUACAGUAGUUAUUGCGUGAACAUAGCAUAAGCUUAUUUUGGUUGAGGAGGAACUGUAAAAGGCGGCUGCUGUUUCAGUUACUGUCUGUCUAACUGUGCAUAUCACAAAAAGUGCUGAUAAUGUGUGACGUCUGCGUGAGGAUAUAUGGAAAUACAUACGUUGACAGGCAGGUAGAACAUUGUAUUGUUGCACUCGGACCGAAUGCAAUGAUUGGACAAACACGUUAUCGUCCUAAGCCUUCCAUAGACGUUAUACACUGUAUACAUAUAAAUGCAGUUAGACCACUUGACUUAGUGAUUUCUAUCAGGAUGUGAAGAGACUUUCAACCAGCAUAACAAAAAAUGUUUUUGAACCAAAUCACCUACGCUGCCUUUAAAACGGCUUUGCUAAAGGUUACAGGCAGGUAAGUUUGAUCAAGGUUGGAGCUAAACUCUGCAGGACAGAGUUGAGAACCCCUGACCUAAAAGAUUCUAUAUAUGAAGUGCCUGACAGAACCCUAUAUAGAACCUUUUCUUCUAAGAAUGUGUGACAUUUUUCCUAAGGUAUUUAAGAAGAAACAGCAGAGACAAAAUUGAUAGCUAAAUGAAUAUCUCAUAAAAUGAAAGCUGUGAAAUGACCAUCGUUAGGCACAAACUUUUUCCUCUGGGUGCGUUGUGACGUGUCAACAGAGGGAGUAAUGCUCUUUAAAAAGCUAUAAAGAGCUUUGGGGGUUGGAAAGUAGAAAGGGAGGUCAAGGGUUUUCCUCCAACCCACUAUGACGCUACACUGCAGGGAAGGUACCUCACGUGUACACAGGGUAUCCCAUGCGUGCGACAAUAUGCAACUUCAAUAAAUCAGUAUGACUUUAAAAAAUUUUCCACUUGCAGUAGCUGCAGAGAGUGUUGAAACGUGAGCAAUUAUGUAGGUCAGCGACAUUAACGCAAGUUUGUGCUGAGCUGUUAAAUCAAUUUAGCAGCAACCUCUACCAAUGAACUCGUUAUUUUCAAGAGAACUCAAAAGACUCACAGUGAAGAGGCCUAUUACACUAAACCCUCUGGACAUUGUGAUCAUAACAAAACUCUGGUACCUUCAGAAAAUACCUUCAGUCACAACCUGUCAGCGUCUUCUCCGCCCAAUGAACUCACUUGACUUGAAACGCACAAAAUAAACAUUAGUGACGUUACAGCUGUGUGGGCACUGUUGAUGAUAUACAAAAGAUUCUGUUCAAAUAUGAGACUUAAGAGAGAUUUGCAGACUUUUGACAAAGUAAAAAAGGAAAAGGCAAAGCUAUGCAGAACUGCACUUGUCAAACAACACCUGCAGCCUGCACCUCGCAUGUUUGCACACGUACUGCAGAAAAGUCAGGACUCAGCAAACAUUUAGUAAACACAAAUAGGCAGUUCUAGUUGUGCUAAUCUAUCGAAAAGACUCACUAAUCCAUUAGAAAGGAUGCAAACAGUUUCUUAACGUUUCCACAGAGAUUUACAGAUUGUUUUUUAUUGUUUUCAUAUGCAGUACCAUUGGGGUCUCUACACUGUUUUAAUGUUUUUGAAAGAAGGCUCUAUUACUCACCAAGGCAAAUCAAAAACACAGCACUAUUGUGAAAUAUGAUUACCAUUUAAAACAACUGUUUUCUAUUAUAGUAUAUUUUUAAAAUGUAAUUUAUUCCUGGGAUGGCAAAGCUAUUUCUGUAAUUCAGCAUCAUUACUCCAGUCUUCACAUGAAAUUAAAUAUAUGUGUCACAUGAAAUUAAUAUAAUAUGCUAAUUUGCUGCUCAAUAAACAUUUCUUAUUAUUAUUAUCAAUUUUGAAAGCAGUUCUAUAGUGACAACUCUCAUAAGAUUUUUAGCAUGGUAAUGGAUAUGACAAUGUUAAUGUAGUUGGUCUUGGUGGACUAGAUCUGCUAUGCUGCUGCUGCUGAAUUACUGCUGCUGUAGAUUAUUGCUGCUGCUGCAGAGCAAGUACAGGAAGUUGCUAUUGCCAAUACAUACCCAAGACAUGCUGCUGCUGCUGCUGCUGCAUAAAUAGCACAUAAAUUACCCUCAGCAGAUCUAUACAGGUGGAGCUUGGGAAGGUGAAGGGUUUCAGAGGAACUAUAAAAGUGUGCUGCAAACUACUAUAGUGAACGCUAACCAGCCAUUUAUCCCUCUACUGCACACAUGUUGAUGGCACAUGAAAAAAAAAAAAUAUUCCACAUCAUAUUUUGGUUCAUUUGGGAACAUUUUAUUGAUUUAAAAAAAAAAAAAAAAAAAAAAAAAAAAAAUUGCCUCAGGGCAAUGUUGUGUGACAAUGGAACAGAGUCAUAGAGAAAAUUAUCAAAAUCAUUUUUUUUUUUUUUUUAAAUUCAAGAAAUCAUUAAGUAAAAAGGGAAAAACACUUGAAAGACAUUGAUAUAUUGAAUUUGAUGCAUGCAUAGGUCUGUAUCAUGUAGUGUGCUAUGCCAUAUAAUGUACUUCAUCAAUAAGAUUUAAUUCCGUACGAAACUUCAAAAAGCAGUUCUUCUCUGCUGUGACAUAGUGGUGUAUGUUACAAUUUUUGGGUGUUCCUGCACACCCAGGAACCCUACAUCUUCCCUUCUUAUAAUACAUUGUUGCCAAUGUGAGGUAUUGUCUAAAACAUCCUCGAAAUGUACCCCUUAUUGCACAACGUUGCCCUGAGGCAACGAAAAGAAAAACUCAAUUUCUGAACAUGCAAAAUAAAAUAAAAAAUCAUAAAA